RNAcentral lists this long non-coding RNA (415 nucleotides) under Rattus norvegicus (Norway rat). Its description in RNAcentral is "long non-coding RNA NONRATT026678". The stretch from base 45 to 153 matches the Rfam family "Rhabdomyosarcoma 2 associated transcript conserved region 3". The record is from RNAcentral. Lineage: Eukaryota; Metazoa; Chordata; Mammalia; Rodentia; Muridae.
AUUUGUUCAGAUCUCCACAGUCUUUGUCGCUGUAUUUUGUUAGAAAGAAAGGCGAGGCUGUUUCUACAGGUGCCACAGAAAAAUCGAUGCCGAGUCACGGAUUAUUGGAUCCCACAGAACCAUGGAGACUUGGCGGUGAAAUUCUUCUAAAGUUUCUUCUGGCUAUCAGAGAGUUGAAAGGGGAAAAAAAAAUAAAGAGCCAAAGCUGUUUCAACUUCUUGGUUGUUUUACUCCAUGGCUUAGCAUUCCAUCUGCGCAGGCAGAGGUGUUCCUGGUUUGGGAAGUAUAAAUCCCGCGGGAAGUCAACUGGAGAACAUUUUACGCGUCCGUCACUCAUCCUAUUAUGAGCCUGCUGCUCUUCCUUCUCUGGACAAGGCCACCGACUAGAAGAGCACAGAAUUAUUAAAAAGAAAAC